RNAcentral lists this ribosomal RNA (279 nucleotides) under uncultured bacterium. Its description in RNAcentral is "partial 16S ribosomal RNA". It matches the Rfam family "Bacterial small subunit ribosomal RNA", at positions 337 to 632 of the family's 1533-position model. The record is from RNAcentral.
GCCUACGGGGGGCAGCAGUGGGGGAUAUUGCACAAUGGGGGGAACCCUGAUGCAGCGACGCCGCGUGGGUGAAGGAGUAUUUCGGUAUGUAAAGCCCUAUCGGCAGGGAAGAAGCAAGACGGUACCUGACUAAGAAGCCCCGGCUAACUACGUGCCAGCAGCCGCGGGAAUACGGAGGGGGCGAGCGUUAAUCGGAAUUACUGGGGGUAAAGCGCUCGUAGGCGGUAUGUCAAGGCAAGGGUGAAAUCCCCGCGCUCAACGUGGGAACUGCCUUUGAAA